Molecule: unclassified non-coding RNA, 214 nt
Filed under: Hevea brasiliensis (rubber tree)
Lineage: Eukaryota; Viridiplantae; Streptophyta; Magnoliopsida; Malpighiales; Euphorbiaceae
Source: RNAcentral
UGCAGUGAUUUUGUGAUGACCAGAAGCAUUCAAUGCCGAGAAAUGAUUGAAGAUGUACAGAGACAUAUGGCAGGGUUGAGGUUUCAGGACCGCAAGAACACAGGUUCUUACAACUAUCCUGCAGCGAACCAGACCCAUCAAACUCCAAGAUCAAGUCCACAGCCUUCAGUUGAUCCUCAAAAUGUACCCCUUCGGCCCCAAACACCUUACUACC